GAUGAACGCUGGCGGCGUGCCUAAUACAUGCAAGUCGAGCGAACAGAUAAGGAGCUUGCUCCUUUGACGUUAGCGGCGGACGGGUGAGUAACACGUGGGUAACCUACCUAUAAGACUGGGAUAACUUCGGGAAACCGGAGCUAAUACCAGAUAACAUUUGGAACCGCAUGGUUCUAAAGUGAAAGAUGGUUUUGCUAUCACUUAUAGAUGGACCCGCGCCGUAUUAGCUAGUUGGUAAGGUAACGGCUUACCAAGGCAACGAUACGUAGCCGACCUGAGAGGGUGAUCGGCCACACUGGAACUGAGACACGGUCCAGACUCCUACGGGAGGCAGCAGUAGGGAAUCUUCCGCAAUGGGCGAAAGCCUGACGGAGCAACGCCGCGUGAGUGAUGAAGGGUUUCGGCUCGUAAAACUCUGUUAUUAGGGAAGAACAAAUGUGUAAGUAACUGUGCACGUCUUGACGGUACCUAAUCAGAAAGCCACGGCUAACUACGUG
Molecule: ribosomal RNA, 497 nt
Filed under: uncultured bacterium
Lineage: Bacteria
Description: partial 16S ribosomal RNA
Rfam family: Bacterial small subunit ribosomal RNA
Source: RNAcentral